This 266-nucleotide unclassified non-coding RNA is filed under the name uncultured Actinomycetes bacterium. RNAcentral's name for it is "uncultured actinobacterium contains 16S-23S intergenic spacer region". Lineage: Bacteria; Bacillati; Actinomycetota; Actinomycetes. The record is from RNAcentral.
UCCGAGUUGUCCCCGGCAGUCCUUUUAGAGUCCCCGGCAUUACCCGCUGGCAACUAAAAGCAGGGGUUGCGCUCGUUGCGGCACUUAAGCCAACACCUCACGGCACGAGCUGACGACAGCCAUGCAGCACCUGUACACCCCCAAAAGAAGCCCCAUCUCUGGAGCGGCAGGAUGUAUGUCAAACCCAGGUAAGGUUCUUCGCGUUGCAUCGAAUUAAUCCGCAUGCUCCGCCGCUUGUGCGGGCCCCCGUCAAUUCCUUUGAGUUU